RNAcentral lists this ribosomal RNA (468 nucleotides) under uncultured bacterium. RNAcentral describes it as "partial 16S ribosomal RNA". It matches the Rfam family "Bacterial small subunit ribosomal RNA", at positions 28 to 507 of the family's 1533-position model. The record is from RNAcentral.
GACGAACGCUGGCGGCGUGCUUAACACAUGCAAGUCGAACGGAUAGGCCCUGCUUUUGUGUGGUUCUCGAGUGGCGAACGGGUGAGUAACACGUGAGUAACCUGCCCUUGACUUUGGGAUAACUUCAGGAAACUGGUGCUAAUACCUGAUAGGAGCUCGUGCAGCAUGGUGGUGGUUGGAAAGUUUCGGCGGUGGGGGAUGUACUCGCGGCUUAUCAGCUUGUUGGUGUGGUAGUGGCUUACCAAGGCUUUGACGGGUAGCCGGCCUGAGAGCGUGGACGGCCACAUGGGGACUGAGAGACGGAGCAGACUGCAACGGGAGGCAACAGUGGGGAAUAUUGCACAAUGGGCGCACGCCUGAGAAGAAAACGCCGGGUGCGGGAUGAACGCCUUGGGGUUGUAAACCGCUUUCGCCUAUGACGAAGCGUGAGUGACGGUAAUGGGUAAAGAAGCACCGGCUAACUACGUG